This 74-nucleotide transfer RNA is filed under the name bacterium HR34. RNAcentral describes it as "tRNA-Lys". It matches the Rfam family "tRNA". Rfam says of the family: Transfer RNA (tRNA) molecules are approximately 80 nucleotides in length. The record is from RNAcentral.
GCCUCGCUAGCUCAAUUGGCAGAGCAGGGGCCUCUUAAGCCCAAGGUUGGAGGUUCGAGCCCUCCGCGAGGCAC